CAGUAGCCGCGGGAAAACGUAGGUGGCAAGCGUUGUCCGGAAUUAUUGGGCGUAAAGGGCUCGCAGGCGGUUUCUUAAGUCUGAUGUGAAAGCCCCCGGCUCAACCGGGGAGGGUCAUUGGAAACUGGGAAACUUGAGUGCAGAAGAGGAGAGUGGAAUUCCACGUGUAGCGGUGAAAUGCGUAGAGAUGUGGAGGAACACCAGUGGCGAAGGCGACUCUCUGGUCUGUAACUGACGCUGAGGAGCGAAAGCGUGGGGAGCGAACAGGAUUAGAUACCCCUGUAGUCCCUGUCUCUUAUAC
This 301-nucleotide ribosomal RNA is filed under the name uncultured bacterium. RNAcentral describes it as "partial 16S ribosomal RNA". It matches the Rfam family "Bacterial small subunit ribosomal RNA", at positions 509 to 807 of the family's 1533-position model. The record is from RNAcentral.